RNAcentral lists this ribosomal RNA (443 nucleotides) under uncultured bacterium. RNAcentral's name for it is "partial 16S ribosomal RNA". It matches the Rfam family "Bacterial small subunit ribosomal RNA", at positions 338 to 795 of the family's 1533-position model. The record is from RNAcentral.
CCUACGGGAGACAGCAGUGGGGAAUAUUGGACAAUGGGGGGAACCCUGAUCCAGCGACGCCGCGUGAGUGAAGAAGUAUUUCGGUAUGUAAAGCUCUAUCAGCAGGGAAGAAAGAAAUGACGGUACCUGACUAAGAAGCCCCGGCUAACUACGUGCCAGCAGCCGCGGUAAUACGUAGGGGGCAAGCGUUAUCCGGAUUUACUGGGUGUAAAGGGAGCGUAGACGGCGAUGCAAGUCUGAAGUGAAAGGCGGGGGCUCAACCCCCGGACUGCUCUGGAAACUGUACGGCUGGAGUGCAGGAGAGGUAAGUGGAAUUCCUAGUGUAGCGGUGAAAUGCGUAGAUAUUAGGAGGAACACCAGUGGCGAAGGCGGCUUACUGGACUGUAACUGACGUUGAGGCUCGAAAGCGUGGGGAGCAAACAGGAUUAGAUACCCCGGUAGUC